This 253-nucleotide ribosomal RNA is filed under the name uncultured bacterium. RNAcentral's name for it is "partial 16S ribosomal RNA". It matches the Rfam family "Bacterial small subunit ribosomal RNA", at positions 524 to 776 of the family's 1533-position model. The record is from RNAcentral.
UACGUAGGUGGCAAGCGUUGUCCGGAUUUACUGGGUGUAAAGGGAGCGUAGACGGCAAUACAAGUCGGAAGUGAAAUACCCGGGCUCAACCUGGGAACUGCUUUGGAAACUGUAUGGCUGGAGUGCUGGAGAGGUAAGCGGAAUUCCUAGUGUAGCGGUGAAAUGCGUAGAUAUUAGGAGGAACACCAGUGGCGAAGGCGGCUUACUGGACAGUAACUGACGUUGAGGCUCGAAAGCGUGGGGAGCAAACAGG